RNAcentral lists this ribosomal RNA (253 nucleotides) under uncultured bacterium. RNAcentral's name for it is "partial 16S ribosomal RNA". It matches the Rfam family "Bacterial small subunit ribosomal RNA", at positions 524 to 776 of the family's 1533-position model. The record is from RNAcentral.
UACAGAGGUCCCAAGCGUUGUUCGGAUUCACUGGGUUUAAAGGGUGCGUAGGCGGGCAGGUAAGUCAGAGGUGAAAUCUCCGGGCUUAACCCGGAAACUGCCUUUGAUACUAUCUGUCUUGAAUAUGGUGGAGGUAAGCAGAAUAUGUCAUGUAGCGGUGAAAUGCUUAGAUAUGACAUAGAACACCGAUAGCGGAGGCAGCUUGCUACACAGUCAUUGACACUGAGGCACGAAAGCGUGGGGAUCAAACAGG